UACGGAAGGCAGCAGUGGGGAAUAUUGCACAAUGGGCGCAAGCCUGAUGCAGCCAUGCCGCGUGUAUGAAGAAGGCCUUCGGGUUGUAAAGUACUUUCAGCGGGGAGGAAGGCGAUGCGGUUAAUAACCGCGUCGAUUGACGUUACCCGCAGAAGAAGCACCGGCUAACUCCGUGCCAGCAGCCGCGGUAAUACGGAGGGUGCAAGCGUUAAUCGGAAUUACUGGGCGUAAAGCGCACGCAGGCGGUCUGUUAAGUCAGAUGUGAAAUCCCCGGGCUUAACUUGGGAACUGCAUUUGAAACUGGCAGGCUUGAGUCUUGUAGAGGGGGUAGAAUUCCAGGUGUAGCGGUGAAAUGCGUAGAGAUCUGGAGGAAUACCGGUGCGAAGGCGGCCCCUGGGACAAGACUGACGCUCAGGUGCGAAAGCGUGGGGAGCAAACAGGAUUAGAUACC
This 451-nucleotide ribosomal RNA is filed under the name uncultured bacterium. RNAcentral describes it as "bacterial SSU rRNA". It matches the Rfam family "Bacterial small subunit ribosomal RNA", at positions 340 to 786 of the family's 1533-position model. The record is from RNAcentral.